Molecule: long non-coding RNA, 5559 nt
Organism: Hordeum vulgare subsp. vulgare (domesticated barley)
Lineage: Eukaryota; Viridiplantae; Streptophyta; Magnoliopsida; Poales; Poaceae
Exons: 2
Source: RefSeq, a predicted model, not a curated record
GCCACACACGGCACCGAGCAGCCCCCAGAAAGUUCCCGGCUCCGUCGGUCCCAACCCUCGCUGCCGACCUGCCACUGCCAGCCGCCCACCCGAACCAAACCAAACCAAGUCCGGAUCCAGCCCGAUCCACUCGAUUUUGAUUUGAUUUCCGCCGCCCACCCGUCCCCGCAAAACCACCGCCAGCGCGGCGAAGAAGCCUUGUCCGGUAAGGAAUCGGUUGGCGGGCGCCAGGCCGGCCACCGCCUCUGCUCCCGGCUAUAAAAGGCACCCAGGUGCGCCCUCUCCACCCCGCGCGCUGGCCUCCUCCCUCUCUGUUGGAGCUCUCGUUCGGGCCGGCCGCGCCGCCGGUGUCGAUCGCCUGAGUCGCCUCCUCGCGUCUCCGCGGCUGUUCCCUUCCCCUUAUCCAUCAAAUCUCGAUUCGUUUCGAAUCGCGUUUGAUUUAUCUCCUCGCCGGCUUUGUUUCCUGUGCGCUCGCAGGGGAUCCGGCCCGCCUCCGCGCGACCUCGGGGAGCGAUCCAUCGAUCGAUCGGGGGAUUCCGUCGAUUUUGCUCUGAUUUCUGUGUGAUGAGAGGGCCGAAGCAAGGUCAGUUUCCCGUGCUCGAUCGGUCAGAUCGGUUCCUUGGUUCCGUCACCUGCCUGCCUUCCUCGGCGAUUUCAGAUUUGGAUCCAAUUGGACGGCUCUCGCCCGUGCGGCCUGCCCCCGAUCCAGCCCUCUCGUCACGGGUUCCGUCGUCAUCGGUUAAUAAUACGAGGUGGAUUCGACGCCCUCGUGGAUUCUAAAUUUUACCGGCUGAUCCCGCUUUUGGUAUGUGUUUGUGCUCUCAUCCUAGAUGCAGCAGAAAGCAGAGGCAAGGGACGCUCGGUAGUUCGCAAGAGAUGAUAGAUAAAAAGGGUGGAGGUUUGGUUUCUGUUAUGGUUAUUUUGAUUCAUUGGUCACGGUUCAGCGGUUACUCUGAUUGAUAUGGACAGAUGAUCAAGCUUUGGAUCUCACCAGUCUGCAAUUGGAUGAUAAUAAUAAUUCAACCCCUCCCGAUUUAUUUCUUUGGUUUGCACAGCACAGUUAAUCUACAACUCAUCUGAUUUAGAUUCGUUCCUUGAUGGUUCUCCAGAAAAUGGGAUGACACGGCUUAGCGGGACCACCUAUCUUCGGCUGAUUUGUGUUUGGAUGAACAUUACUACUAUCUCUAUUUAAUCCCUUCCUCUCCACCGUUUAAUUUUAGCCUCCAACAAUUCUGAUUUCGAUUUGGUCUUCAUUGUCCAGAAAUUGGGAUUACUCGGCUGAGUGCGAGCUGACUUAUUAUCUUCUUGUGUUUGGAUGAUCAACUCUCUCUCUCUCUCUCUCUCUCUCUCUCUUCAAUUUGUUCGCCUCCACAGUUCAAUUAUUCUCUCAACAAUUCUGAUUUGGAAUGGUUGCUGGUUGUCCAGAAACUGGAAUUACACGGGCCUAGCGGGUGCUCCUAUGUUGCCUCAGCAUGACGCUGCUUCUUUCCUGGCUUGAACUUUCUGGACCUUUCUUACUCAAUAUUAAUUAGAACUCAGCAGACAUUAGUUUUCCCUGUCUUGGUCAUUCUCAGCUCUUGCAGAUAGUGUCUUGCAAAGGAUAUUUAAUUGGAACCGGUGUUGUCUACCUGACCUUCCCAGUCGAGACAGGCUUACUUAUUCUCUGCCUCCUCGUCGUUUUAUCCUAGUUUUCCCUAACUGAAGCAUUUAUGGAAACGUAUCUUGCUUGUUGCAGGUCGUAGUUUACAAACUCAAGGCCACCAACCUGAUGCUGACUUUGCAGUUCUUCUAAAACCACUAUCUACUCAAUUCCUUAACUGAGAUAAUGUUAAUAAGAUCUCUUACUAGGCAGUAUUUUAAAUUCAGAUUUAGCUGCGAAAGGUGCAAGAAUGAAGCUUCAAACUAGUGGCAUAUCCUACAACCGGAAAAAUAAUCAUCUUCUACCCUCCUAUUUUUAUUUCAUUCAGCUACAUUUUCUUGUCUUUGAUUUAUGCUUAUGCCCUCCAUGUCGUUGCAGAUCUGUUUUGCCUAAGACAAUGCUUGUAGCGAGUCAAAAAUCUUCUGGUUUGCUAUCUAUCUCUUUGUUGUUUGAUUGGUUAUAUCUGUACUCUUGAUCCCUGUGUUGGUCUUCCUAUACGUGUGUGGGUUGCACUGCAGGAUAUAUUUAGGAAGUCUGCCUACAUAUGCAAACCUUUGCUGUGUGCGUGUCGCGGUGUCAGGUCAGUGACUGUUGGUUCAUUUGUGUUCCCAUGCUGGAUGGGAUCUGAUGUGGAGAUCACUAUGAUGGUGUUUGUUGAAAGGGAUUUUAGGUAGGUCAGAUUACAUGCCUAUUGCCCGUGUGGUCUUCUAGUUCUCAUCACGAGUUCCAUCAUAAUCAAUAUGAGGUGGAUUAGAGGUAUUGGUGGAUUCUUAUUGUAGCAGUUGAUCUCGCUUUUGGUCUGUGUUUGUGCUCCUUCAGAUGCAGCAGAAGCAGGAAGUGGUUCCGCAUAGAUGAACCGAAAGGAUGGAGGCUUGGUUUCUGAUAUGGUCAGAGGUCUCCAGGGAUGAUGUUUGGUGUUGGACUGAAGUUUUGGAUCGCACAUCAACCUGGAACUUGAGAUCCGUGUUCAGAUGAUCCCUCUGAAUUUCACUUCAUUUGAUUUGGAUUCGUUCAGUUUUAGCCUCCAACUUCAAUUUGGAUUCAUUGCUCAUUGUCACGAAUUGGGAUUACCCGCUUAGUGGGAGCGGCGUACUAUCUUCUUGCUGACCGACCUGUGUUUGGAUGAUCAAAAUUCUGUUCAAUUUGUUCUUCUCCACGGUUCAAUUAUUCUCCCAACAAUUCUGAUUUGGAAUGUUUGCUGGUUAUCCAGAAUCUGGAAUUACAUGGGCCUAGCGGGUGCUCUUAUUUUGGCUCAGCAUGGCGGUUCUUUUUCUGUGGCUAAACUUUUUGGACCUUCCUUAUUCAAUACAGUAUUAAUUAGAACUCAGCAGACAUUAGUUUUCCCUGCCUUAGUCAUUUUCGCUCUUGCAGAUAGUGUCUUGCAAGGGAUAUAGUUGGAAGCCAUGUGUCUACCUGACCUUCACAGUGGAGACAGACUUACUCAGCCUUUACCUCCUCAUUCGUUUGUACCUACUUUCCUAAUCCUAGUUUUCUCAUGACUGAAACAUUUAUAGAAACGUAUCUUACUCGUUGCAGGUCGUAGUUUACGAACUCAAGUCCACCAACCUGAUAUUGAGUUUGCAGUUCUUCUAAAUCUACUAUCUUCUCAAUUCCUCGACUUAGAUAAUAAUAAUAAGAUAUCUUACUAGGUAAUAUCUUAAAUUCAGAUUUAACUGUAAAGGUGCAAUAAUGAAGCUUCAAAACUAGUGUCACAUCCUACAACCGGAAAAAACUUAAUCUCUUAUCCUCUUAUUUUUAUUUCAUUGAGCUACAUGUCUUCUCCGCCUUAGUCGGUAAUUCUCAGCUCUUGUAGAUACUGACUUUAAAAUGAUAUAACAGCAGUUUGGAACCGGUGUUGUUGUCCUCCGUCAACCAUAUCUGAACUUCCUAGCUGAGACAGGCUUACUUGUUCCCCAUCCAUCUUUGAUCCAUGCUUUAGCUAUUUAUAUAUAAAAGUAGCAUUUUCCCCUAACUGAAAAUUUAUAGAAAGGCCUCUUGCUCGUUGCAGGUUGUAGUUGAUGAACUCAAGUCCAACCUGAUGAUGAAUUUGCUUGCAGAUCUUCUAAAUCUAUGAGUAUUGUCUCAAUUCAUCAUAACUUUCAUGACCUACAUAUUAUCUUACUAGGUAAUAUUUUAUAAUACAGAUCCAUAUGCAACGGUGCACGAAUCUAAUGACAAUCCUGGCACAUCCUACAACCGAAAUAGACUCUUGAACUUUCUGGACCUUUCUUAUUUCAAUAUUAAUUAGACUCAGCAGACAUUAGUUUUCCCUGUCUUAGUUAUUCUCAGCUCUUGCAGAUAGUGUCUUGCAAAGGAUAUAUAAGUGGAACCUGUGUUGUCUACCUGACCUUCCCAGUCGAGACAGGCUUAUUUAUCCUCUACCUCCUCAUUGUUUCAUCCAGUUUUCCCCUAGCUGAAACAUUUAUAGAAAGGUUAUCUUGCUCGUUGCAGGUUGUAGUUUACGAACUCAAGGCCACAAACCUGAUGCUGAGUUUGCAGUUCUUCUAAAACCACUAUCUACUCAAUUCCUUAACUGAGAUAAUGUUAAUAAGAUCUCUUACCAGGCAAUAUUUUAAAUUCAGAUUUAGCUGCAGAAGGUGCAAGAAUGAAGCUUCAAACUAGUGGCAUAUCCUACAACAUGAGUACCAUUAUCCCUCGGUACAAGGUGCAUUCUCGUUGGUUCUCGUUGUUACAGCUGAUCUCUGCUUGUGGGGUAUGUGUUUGUUCUCCUUCAGAUGCCGGAGUGUGAUGGUUGCUGAGUGAUGAAUCAGAGGGUGGAGGUUUGUUUUACUGUUCAUGGUUAUUUGGAUUGGUUAUGGCUCAAUGCCUUGCAUGAUAUAAGAUAGCAUCUUGUGUGCUGAAGUUUUUGUUUUGGAUUGAAGUCGGAUUGGAUCAUUAACCAUGGAAUGGAGAUCAGAGAAUUUGCGAACUGAGUUUGGAUAAUUGAUCCUCAAUUUAGUUUCUUUGUUUGCACAGUCGAAUUUAGCUUACAACAUCUCUCAUAUGGAACUGUUGGUUCUCCAGCUAUUGGACUUAUGGGGCUUUCUGGAAGGUGCCUUGCUUUGACUGUUGGUUUACAUGGGGUUUCUUCUCUUGACUUCAUCUUUCCUGAUUUGCUUUGAACAUUGCACUUCCUAGACAUUGUUUUCUCUGGCCUUGGUAACUACAUGUCCUUCCAGAUAUUUACAUCGAUGAGAGAUAAUAUAGUUUGCUAUCUGGAACUGGUGUUUCCCUAACUGAUAGCAGAUAUUUACAUGGAUGAGAGAUAAUAUAGUUUGCUAUCUGGAACUGGUGUUUCCCUAACUGAUAUCUCCCAGCCAAGUAGGCUUAUCCUAUCCCCUCACUGUUUGAUGCAUCAUUUAGCUGUUCAUAGGCAGCUUCGUUUCCCCAAAGCAGAAGUUCAAACGGAGGUUUCUUGGUCAUUGCAGGUCCUAACUGACGAUUUAGGUCCAACCUGAUGAUGAAUUGGAUUGGUGGAUGUAGAAGGUUCGAAGGUUGCUACAGGGCAUCAAUCUAGACGGGCCAUCCUACAACCGAAAAAACCCAGUGCUCUCUAUUUGAUCUCUUGAAGAAGCUUCUGUUGUCUUAGAUGCUUUGUGCUUGUAGCAUUGAUUGUGUUUUUUUGCUUCCGCCUUCUUGUGGUUGCAGAUUGUUUAGCCCAAGCUAUGCUGGUAGCCAUCAAAAUAUGUCGUAUUUUUGGUUUCUGAUCCUCUCCUGACUUCUAUAGUUGGGUAAUGUUGAUGGCUUGAUACGCAGAAAGAGGUUAGGGAUUAUUGCUAUAUAUACAAAAAAUAUGGAGAGUUGAAGCUUCUCGACUCGAAGCUUGAACAAACAGUUUGCCAUGGACACUACUACUCGUCAUGUCUUUGAUUAGUGUCAUUUCCACUGAAUAUGACUCCGAUGAUCCCGACUUAUUGGUA